GCUGGGCGUGGUGGCUCACGCCUGUAAUCCCAGCACUUUGGGAGGCUGAGGCAGGCGGAUCACCUGAGGUCAGGAGUUUGAGACCAACCUGGCCAACAUGGUGAAACCCCGUCUCUA
Molecule: unclassified non-coding RNA, 117 nt
Organism: Pongo abelii (Sumatran orangutan)
Lineage: Eukaryota; Metazoa; Chordata; Mammalia; Primates; Hominidae
Rfam family: Metazoan signal recognition particle RNA
About the family: The signal recognition particle (SRP) is a universally conserved ribonucleoprotein. It is involved in the co-translational targeting of proteins to membranes.
Source: Ensembl